This 2557-nucleotide small RNA is filed under the name Pan troglodytes (chimpanzee). RNAcentral describes it as "retained intron". The record is from RNAcentral. Lineage: Eukaryota; Metazoa; Chordata; Mammalia; Primates; Hominidae.
GCGCGAGCAAGAUGGCCACCACCAAGCGCGUCUUGUGGACUGGCAGAGGAAGUGGACGACAAAGUUCUUCAUGCUGCGUUCAUUCCUUUUGGAGACAUCACAGAUAUUCAGAUUCCUCUGGAUUAUGAAACAGAAAAGCACCGAGGAUUUGCUUUUGUUGAAUUUGAGUUGGCAGAGGAUGCUGCAGCAGCUAUCGACAACAUGGUAUGGCUGGGAAUCUUAAUUCUAACUAAAGUUGCUUUUUGGUGGUACAGAGGCUCCUUAUUCAUAUAUCAGUGUUCUGGACUUCCAAAGUUACAAGGUUGCAUGGGGAGGUAAAAAUUGUCACGUGAAAAUAUUCACUGUGAAUUGAUCACUUAUAAAAUUAGUUCUUACUCAGACUCCUUCGCCAUUUCAGAAUAAUGUAAGUCCUCAUCAUCCUUGUUGACCAGUCUCUCACUGGCUCUCCCAUGUUUAGGAUAAUUUGCAGACACAGUGCAAAUUGAUUGCACAGUGUAACCGCAUAUUUUGCAAAAUAGCAGGAUUUCAUGAAGUGUUAGACCAAUUUACAAUUGAGAAGAGAAAUUUAACUAUGGCAGGUGCAAAUCACUGAUACAAAUGAUUUGGAUAUUCUGGAAAGGUCCUUGGGAAAAAUGAUGAUGCUCUUUAGUAUUUGUGCCCUCCUUGAGAUCCUUUUAGUUUUCAUGUCUGAUAAGAAGUGCAAAGAUACCAUACUGUUGAUAGAAUUUUGUUGGAAAAAUAAUACUUCAGUGCCUGUUACUUUUCUUUCUUUCUUUUUUUUUUUUUUUUUAACAAUCUUGAACUCAUGAGUUCAAGACUUCUCAGCUUCUCAAGUAGCUGGAAUUACAGGCUCAAGCCAACAGGGCUACCUGGCUACCUGUUACAUUUCUUUCUACCAAGUUACAUUUCUUUCUACCAAUUAGUGCAUAGUUAGUCCUGAAUAUUAAUUGUAAGAAACUUGUUUUUAUUAUUUUUAGUUUCAUCACAGUAAUUUCCCAGUCAACCUUUAAAAAUUUUUCAAUUUUACCACGAAAUCUUCAUCACCACUUCAAGUGGAGUCACCUUAAAUGACCUUUCCUGGUACCGAUUAUCUUUGGAUAAUGAGAUGUUGUUUUAUUUGUUGUUCUGUUAUCCAUUCACCAAACAUAUUCAUCAGCUGUCAGAGAUCAUUUUUCUUUCAUUUCAAAGCUUAUCUUGACUUUUGAAGGUGAACUCAAAUACUGGGAAACUGCAUUUAUUUUUGUAAUUUUGGAGUGUUCUGAACCCAGAGUUACUUUUGGUAAUACAGGUCUUUGUGUGCUGCUAUGAAAGAAAGGGGUGUGAGUUCCCUGAAACCCACAGGUGGCUUUGGGGUGGCUGCAUAGCUUACUGGUAGAGGCCCAGGGAUUAAGGGAGGACAAAUCAUGAGUGUGUCUCAGAAGUAUAUGGAAAGCUGGCUGGCCCUCUUUUAACCUAAGAGAGUUUAAGCAGCUGGAUUUUCAAUCUUUUCAGAAUGAAUCUGAGCUUUUUGGACGUACAAUUCGUGUCAAUUUGGCCAAACCAAUGAGAAUUAAGGAAGGCUCUUCCAGGCCAGUUUGGUCAGAUGAUGACUGGUUGAAGAAGUUUUCUGGGAAGACGCUUGAAGAGAAUAAAGAGGAAGAAGGGUCAGAGCCUCCCAAAGCAGAGACCCAGGAGGGAGAGCCCAUUGCUAAAAAGGCCCGGUCAAAUCCUCAGGUGUACAUGGACAUCAAGAUUGGGAACAAGCCGGCUGGCCGCAUCCAGAUGCUCCUGCGUUCUGAUGUCGUGCCCAUGACAGCAGAGAAUUUCCGCUGCCUGUGCACUCAUGAAAAGGGCUUUGGCUUUAAGGGAAGCAGCUUCCACCGCAUCAUCCCCCAGUUCAUGUGCCAGGGCGGUGAUUUCACAAACCACAACGGCACUGGGGGCAAGUCCAUCUAUGGGAAGAAGUUCGAUGAUGAAAACUUUAUCCUCAAGCAUACGGGACCAGGUCUACUAUCCAUGGCCAACUCUGGCCCAAACACCAAUGGCUCUCAGUUCUUCCUGACAUGUGACAAGACAGACUGGCUGGAUGGCAAGCAUGUGGUGUUUGGAGAGGUCACCGAAGGCCUAGAUGUCUUGCGGCAAAUUGAGGCCCAGGGCAGCAAGGACGGGAAGCCAAAGCAGAAGGUGAUCAUCGCCGACUGUGGGGAGUACGUGUGAGGCGGCACUCUCUCUGCUUCCCCCUCCGCUCUUGACCCUGCAUAUCCAGGAAGGAACUGCCAGCCUCAGAGGAGGCAGCACCGAGGGUGCCUGUUUGAAGCGAGCAGCAUUUGGGAUAUGUGCCCUUCCUCAGGGUCCGCUUGGAGCAGCUCCUCUGCAGGCACAGCCUGGACUAUUCCCAGGCGCAGCUGUGGGCCCAGGAGCCAGCUCAGGUGCUCCCCUCCACCAUGGGCAGGCUGUGCAAAAAGCCACUGGCUUUUCUCAGCAUUUGCUGCUGGGCCUCUCCUGGGACUACCAGUGUGGCUCUUACGUCUUUUCUUUGCUAAAAUAAACCCUAGUUCUUAUAUUGCUCUUCCUGCUA